RNAcentral lists this ribosomal RNA (219 nucleotides) under uncultured bacterium. Its description in RNAcentral is "partial 16S ribosomal RNA". It matches the Rfam family "Bacterial small subunit ribosomal RNA", at positions 582 to 793 of the family's 1533-position model. The record is from RNAcentral.
GUCAGAUGUAGAAACGGCCCGGGGCUACAACCGUACGGAAUAGCUAUUUAGUAAACGUGGCAGACUAGAGUACUGUAGGAGGGGGGUAGAAUUUCAGGUGUAGCGGUGAAAAUGCGUAGAGAUCUGAAGGAAUACCGGUGGCGAAGGCGGCCCCCUGGACAGAUACUGACACUCAGAUGCGAAAGCGUGGGGAGCAAACAGGAUUAGAUACCCUGGUAG